ACGGGAGGCAGCAGUGGGGAAUAUUGCACAAUGGGGGAAACCCUGAUGCAGCGACGCCGCGUGAGUGAAGAAGUAUUUCGGUAUGUAAAGCUCUAUCAGCAGGGAAGAAAAAUGACGGUACCUGACUAAGAAGCACCGGCUAAAUACGUGCCAGCAGCCGCGGUAAUACGUAUGGUGCAAGCGUUAUCCGGAUUUACUGGGUGUAAAGGGAGCGCAGGCGGUACGGCAAGUCUGAUGUGAAAGCCCGGGGCUUAACCCCGGUACUGCAUUGGAAACUGUCGAACUAGAGUGUCGGAGGGGUAAGCGGAAUUCCUAGUGUAGCGGUGAAAUGCGUAGAUAUUAGGAGGAACACCAGUGGCGAAGGCGGCUUACUGGACGAUAACUGACGCUGAGGCUCGAAAGCGUGGGGAGCAAACAGGAUUAGAUACCCUGGUA
This 435-nucleotide ribosomal RNA is filed under the name uncultured Roseburia sp. Its description in RNAcentral is "bacterial SSU rRNA". It matches the Rfam family "Bacterial small subunit ribosomal RNA", at positions 341 to 792 of the family's 1533-position model. The record is from RNAcentral. Lineage: Bacteria; Bacillati; Bacillota; Clostridia; Lachnospirales; Lachnospiraceae.